GACGAACGCUGGCGGCGUGCUUAACACAUGCAAGUCGAACGGAAAGUGCUCUUCGGAGUGACUCGAGUGGCGAACGGGUGAGUAACACGUGGGUGAUCUGCCCUGCACUUUGGGAUAAGCCUGGGAAACUGGGUCUACUACCGAAUAGGACUCCGGAUCGCAUGGUCUGGGGUGGAAAGCUUUUGCGGUGUGGGAUGGGCCCGCGGCCUAUCAGCUUGUUGGUGGGGUGAUGGCCUACCAAGGCGACGACGGGUAGCCGGCCUGGGAGGGUGUCCGGCCACACUGGGAAUGAGCUACGGCCAUGACUCCUUCGGGGGGAAGCGGUGGGGACUAUUGAACAAUGGGCGCAAGCCUGAUGCAGCGACGCCGGGGACGGGAUGACGGCCUUCGGGUUGUAAACCUCUUUCACCAGGGACGAAGCGUAAGCGACGGUACCUGGAGAAGAAGCCCCGGCCAACUACGUGCCAGCCGCCCGCCGUAA
This 481-nucleotide ribosomal RNA is filed under the name uncultured bacterium. RNAcentral's name for it is "partial 16S ribosomal RNA". It matches the Rfam family "Bacterial small subunit ribosomal RNA", at positions 28 to 523 of the family's 1533-position model. The record is from RNAcentral.